RNAcentral lists this long non-coding RNA (729 nucleotides) under Trifolium pratense (red clover). Its description in RNAcentral is "long non-coding RNA (TPRA_LNC003870)". The record is from RNAcentral. Lineage: Eukaryota; Viridiplantae; Streptophyta; Magnoliopsida; Fabales; Fabaceae.
UGCUUAAGGCUAAGCCAUUUGCUUAUGCUUCAAAGAAACAUUUUAAAGAAUGUGACAAGCCCAAGCCUUCACCAACUCCAUACUACUACAAAUCACCUCCACCUCCCUCACCUGUUUACAAGUACAACUCUCCACCUCCACCAGUCCAUUAUUAUUCACCACCAUAUUACUACAAAUCACCUCCUCCUCCAGUAAAAUCGCCACCAACACCUUACUACUACAAAUCACCUCCACCUCCCUCACCAGUUUACAAGUACAACUCACCACCUCCACCGGUCCAUUAUUACUCUCCUCCAUAUUCCUAUAAGUCGCCUCCACCUCCCUCACCAGUUUACAAAUACAACUCCCCACCUCCACCAGUCCACCAUUAUGAUCCUCCAUAUUACUACAAGUCACCUCCACCUCCCUCACCAGUUUACAAGUACAACUCCCCACCUCCACCAGUCCAUUAUUAUUCACCUCCAUAUUACUACAAAUCCCCACCUCCUCCUGUGAAAUCCCCACCACCCCCUUACUACUAUAAAUCACCUCCACCUCCCUCACCAGUUUACAAAUACAACUCACCACCUCCACCGGUUUACAAGUACAACUCACCACCUCCACCAGUCCACCAUUAUGAUCCUCCAUAUAACUACAAGUCACCUCCACCUCCUUCACCUGUUUACAAGUACAACUCCCCACCUCCACCAGUCCAUUAUUAUUCACCUCCAUAUUACUACAAAUCACNNN